RNAcentral lists this ribosomal RNA (501 nucleotides) under uncultured bacterium. RNAcentral's name for it is "partial 16S ribosomal RNA". It matches the Rfam family "Bacterial small subunit ribosomal RNA", at positions 30 to 523 of the family's 1533-position model. The record is from RNAcentral.
AUUGAACGCUGGCGGCAUGCCUUACACAUGCAAGUCGAACGGCAGCACGGGUGCUUGCACCUGGUGGCGAGUGGCGAACGGGUGAGUAAUACAUCGGAACGUACCUUAUCGUGGGGGAUAACGCAGCGAAAGUCGCGCUAAUACCGCAUACGCCCUGAGGGGGAAAGCGGGGGACCGUAAGGCCUCGCGCGAUUAGAGCGGCCGAUGUCUGAUUAGCUUGUUGGUGAGGUAAAAGCUCACAAAGGCGAUGAUCAGUAGCUGGUCUGAGAGGACGAUCAGCCACACUGGGACUGAGACACGGCCCAGACUCCUACGGGAGGCAGCAGUGGGGAAUUUUGGACAAUGGGGGCAACCCUGAUCCAGCAAUGCCGCGUGAGUGAAGAAGGCCUUCGGGUUGUAAAGCUCUUUUGUCAGGGAAGAAACAGCAGCUCUAACACAGUCUGCGAAUGACGGUACCUGAAGAAUAAGCACCGGCUAACUACGUGCCAGCAGCCGCCGCCG